GAUGAAGAACGCAGCGAAAUGCGAUAAGUAAUGUGAAUUGCAGAAUUCAGUGAAUCAUCGAAUCUUUGAACGCACCUUGCACUCCUUGGUAUUCCGAGGAGUACGCCUGUUCGAGUGUUAUGAAGCUCUCAAAACGCAAUUGGCUUAAAACCUGAUUGUUGUUUUGGAUUUGAACUUUGCCGUGUUAUAACGGCUGGUUUUAAAAGUAUUAGCUGGUACUAGAACGAAUUGGUUCUACUCAACGUGAUAAUUAUCUGAUCGUUGAGGACAUUCCUUUCUCGAGGAAUGGCCAUAGUAAAUUCAAUGGACUGCUUCUAAUCUGGCUUUAAUUCUUUAUUGGAUUAACCACUUUUCAAAUCUGACCUCGAAUCAGGUGGGACUACCCGCUGAACUUAAGCAUAUCAAUAAGCGGAGGA
RNAcentral lists this unclassified non-coding RNA (416 nucleotides) under soil metagenome. RNAcentral describes it as "partial contains 5.8S ribosomal RNA, internal transcribed spacer 2, and large subunit ribosomal RNA". The stretch from base 1 to 120 matches the Rfam family "5.8S ribosomal RNA", at positions 35 to 154 of the family's 154-position model. The record is from RNAcentral.